Molecule: transfer RNA, 72 nt
Filed under: Pangasianodon gigas (Mekong giant catfish)
Lineage: Eukaryota; Metazoa; Chordata; Actinopteri; Siluriformes; Pangasiidae
Description: tRNA-Glu
Rfam family: tRNA
About the family: Transfer RNA (tRNA) molecules are approximately 80 nucleotides in length. Their secondary structure includes four short double-helical elements and three loops (D, anti-codon, and T loops).
Source: RNAcentral
UCCCUGGAGGACUAGUGGUUAGGCCACGAUGCUCUCACCGCCGCGGCCCGGGAUCGAUUCCCGACCAGGGAA